Molecule: transfer RNA, 70 nt
Filed under: Marmota monax (woodchuck)
Lineage: Eukaryota; Metazoa; Chordata; Mammalia; Rodentia; Sciuridae
Description: tRNA.Ala
Source: RNAcentral
GGGCUGGGGCUAAGAGGUAGAGUACUUGCCUAGCAUGCAUGAGGCACUGGGUUCAAUCCUCAGCACCACA